UACGUAGGGUGCGAGCGUUGUCCGGAAUUACUGGGCGUAAAGCGUGCGUAGGCGGUUUGUUAAGUCUGUCGUGAAAGCCCCGGGCUCAACCUGGGAAUGGCGAUGGAUACUGGCGAGCUAGAGUACGGUAGAGGAGAGUGGAGUUCCCGGUGUAGCAGUGAAAUGCGUAGAGAUCGGGAGGAACAGCAGUGGCGAAGGCGGCUCUCUGGACCAGUACUGACGCUGAGGCACGAAAGCGUGGGGAGCAAACAGG
Molecule: ribosomal RNA, 253 nt
Filed under: uncultured bacterium
Lineage: Bacteria
Description: partial 16S ribosomal RNA
Rfam family: Bacterial small subunit ribosomal RNA
Source: RNAcentral